This 1207-nucleotide ribosomal RNA is filed under the name Arthrobacter sp. SOZ3-2091. Its description in RNAcentral is "bacterial SSU rRNA". It matches the Rfam family "Bacterial small subunit ribosomal RNA", at positions 9 to 1227 of the family's 1533-position model. Lineage: Bacteria; Bacillati; Actinomycetota; Actinomycetes; Micrococcales; Micrococcaceae. The record is from RNAcentral.
GAGUUUGAUCCUGGCUCAGGAUGAACGCUGGCGGCGUGCUUAACACAUGCAAGUCGAACGAUGAUCCCAGCUUGCUGGGGGAUUAGUGGCGAACGGGUGAGUAACACGUGAGUAACCUGCCCUUGACUCUGGGAUAAGCCUGGGAAACCGGGUCUAAUACUGGAUAUGACCUUCUGGCGCAUGCCAUGUUGGUGGAAAGCUUUAUUGCGGUUUUGGAUGGACUCGCGGCCUAUCAGCUUGUUGGUGGGGUAAUGGCCUACCAAGGCGACGACGGGUAGCCGGCCUGAGAGGGUGGACGGCCACACUGGGACUGAGACACGGCCCAGACUCCUACGGGAGGCAGCAGUGGGGAAUAUUGCACAAUGGGCGCAAGCCUGAUGCAGCGACGCCGCGUGGGGGAUGAAGGCCUUCGGGUUGUAAACCUCUUUCAGUAGGGAAGAAGCGAAAGUGACGGUACCUGCAGAAGAAGCGCCGGCUAACUACGUGCCAGCAGCCGCGGUAAUACGUAGGGCGCAAGCGUUAUCCGGAAUUAUUGGGCGUAAAGAGCUCGUAGGCGGUUUGUCGCGUCUGCCGUGAAAGUCCGGGGCUUAACUCCGGAUCUGCGGUGGGUACGGGCAGACUAGAGUGAUGUAGGGGAGACUGGAAUUCCUGGUGUAACGGUGAAAUGCGCAGAUAUCAGGAGGAACACCGAUGGCGAAGGCAGGUCUCUGGGCAUUAACUGACGCUGAGGAGCGAAAGCAUGGGGAGCGAACAGGAUUAGAUACCCUGGUAGUCCAUGCCGUAAACGUUGGGCACUAGGUGUGGGGGACAUUCCACGUUUUCCGCGCCGUAGCUAACGCAUUAAGUGCCCCGCCUGGGGAGUACGGCCGCAAGGCUAAAACUCAAAGGAAUUGACGGGGGCCCGCACAAGCGGCGGAGCAUGCGGAUUAAUUCGAUGCAACGCGAAGAACCUUACCAAGGCUUGACAUGAACUGGAACAGCGCAGAGAUGUGUUGGCCGCUUGCGGCCGGUUUACAGGUGGUGCAUGGUUGUCGUCAGCUCGUGUCGUGAGAUGUUGGGUUAAGUCCCGCAACGAGCGCAACCCUCGUUCUAUGUUGCCAGCGCGUUAUGGCGGGGACUCAUAGGAGACUGCCGGGGUCAACUCGGAGGAAGGUGGGGACGACGUCAAAUCAUCAUGCCCCUUAUGUCUUGGGCUUCACGCAUGAAU